AGGCAGCAGUGGGGAAUAUUGCGCAAUGGGCGAAAGCCUGACGCAGCGACGCCGCGUGAGGGAUGAAGGUCUUCGGAUCGUAAACCUCUGUCAGCAGGGAAGAACGGUCACUGUGCUAAUCAGCAGUUGAAUUGACGGUACCUGCAAAGGAAGCACCGGCUAACUCCGUGCC
Molecule: ribosomal RNA, 172 nt
Filed under: uncultured bacterium
Lineage: Bacteria
Description: partial 16S ribosomal RNA
Rfam family: Bacterial small subunit ribosomal RNA
Source: RNAcentral